Molecule: long non-coding RNA, 1108 nt
Filed under: Anas zonorhyncha (Eastern spot-billed duck)
Lineage: Eukaryota; Metazoa; Chordata; Aves; Anseriformes; Anatidae
Description: lncRNA (ENSAZOG00000010992.1)
Source: RNAcentral
AUGGGAGCAGCCCCGUGCUCCCUACCCCUGGGAGCAGGCUGGGUGGGCUGUGCCCGUCCCCAUCCCUCCUGGCAGCCCCCCUGGGGGGAUUUGCUUUUUGCUAAGCCAGCAGAAACCCGCGUUAGGCCGAAACACGCGUCUGGGAGCGGGGAGGCACCGGGGGGAGGGGGAUUAGGGCAGGCACCCCGAGAACGGCCGGGGGGAGACGCGACGCGGGGAGGAUGGGGAGGGGGCACCCAGGGCUGGGGAGGGGGCACCCAGGGCAGGGGAGGGGGCACCCUCGGCUCGCCCCGUGCCCGCCGCCCCCGCCUCGCCCCGCACCUUCUUGUCCCAGAUCUGCAGCGGCUUGCUGCCGAUGCUGUAGAGCACCGAGAGGAACCCGCUCUGGAACGUGUUCUUGAACAUGGCGGCGGGGCCGGGGCCGCCGCUCCGCGCAGGGCACACAGCAGCAGCAGCAGCAGCGGCUCCACCACCGGCAGCAGCGGCUCCAGAGCCGGGCUCGGGGCCGGGGCCGGUGCCUGGCGCUGCCGGGUGGCGGCGCCGCCGUCCCCCGGGCUCCGCUCCCCGCCCAACGCCGCUUCCGGGGGCGGCGCUGCCGGGGCAACGGGGCCGCGGCCUGGGGUCGGGGCUCGGCGUUCGACCUGCACGGGGGUGGCGGAGCCCCGGGCGCUGCCUCCCCUCAGGGGCUGCCCCAGGCUGCUGGAGAAGCCUCCUGGCAGCCUGUCCUGGCGGCGUGCCCUCAGGGAGCUCCCCUCGACCCAGCUCUGGGUGCCUCCAGGGAUGGGGCAGCCGCUUGUUCUCCAGGCAGCCUGUGGGGUGUGCCGCCCGCAUCGCAUCACAGAGUCAUGGAGUUGUCUGGGUUGGAAGAGACCUCCAGGAUCACCCAGUCCAACCUCUGACCUAACACUGACCGGUCCUCCACUAAACCACAUCACUGAGCUCUACAUCUAAACGUCUUUUAAAGACCUCCAGGGGUGGUGACUCCACCACUUCCCUGGGCAGCCCGUCCCAAUGCCUAAUUUCUUUCUGAUGUCCCCUCUAAAUCCACCUUCUUUUGCAUUGCCCCUUGUCCUGUCACUGCGUGCUCUGCUGAAGACUUUUUGUCCUC